Molecule: long non-coding RNA, 740 nt
Organism: Fukomys damarensis (Damara mole-rat)
Lineage: Eukaryota; Metazoa; Chordata; Mammalia; Rodentia; Bathyergidae
Exons: 4
Source: RefSeq, a predicted model, not a curated record
UCCUAUAUGCCUAUCACUGUAGCGAGUCUGUUUCAUACAUCAUGUCAUCAUCACAACAAGCCUAUAAGUAGUUAUAUUAUUUCAAUACUUUUUGCAUAAGAAAAUUGAGGCAUAGAGAGGUCAUGGAUACAAGAACAUGUAGCCAGACAAACCCAGACUGGCUGGCUCCAAAGGUACUCCACACACCAUAAUAUUAUCUACAAGUGCUAUUGGAAUGAAACAGCAGUAUUUUUACGUAAAACCCCCUAAUCCACUUAAUUGUUAAGGUUGAACAGAACUCCAGUUUGGAGUGAUGAAUGUUUAUGGCCAUCAACAGCAGCACACAGAGGGGUAAUGCAAUCUAGGUCCUCCAGAAUGUUGCUUUGCAGAAAAGUUCCAUAUCUGUAUGAGCACAACACAAAGGGUUGCACAAACUGGAGCCACUCCUUCAAAGUACCGAGGCUAUUUCCUGAUUCAGAUCCCACAACUGACCUAUGCACAGAGAAACUUCAUGUAGAUGCGUGUUCAUCUGCCUGCUGAGAUAAGGAAAUAAUAGCCCAUCCACUGCCAUGCAUAAAGUCAAAGUCAGUGAGUGCUUUCUUCGCGUGGAGAUAGCUGCUGACUGGUGAGUCAAAGCCAGCAAGGCAGGCAGAAGGACGAGGACGAGGAUGAGGAUACGUCGUGACACAUCCACUGACCCAGGACCUGGUACACAGAGAUCGUGCCGAUGAAUUAGGCAGCCUUCGCAGGAAGAGCAGGAU